Long non-coding RNA from Ursus americanus (American black bear), 1575 nucleotides. The record is from Ensembl. NCBI's taxonomy places the organism in Eukaryota, Metazoa, Chordata, Mammalia, Carnivora, Ursidae.
CUGGGCUAGGGUGACGUUCCCUCGGAGCUAAUGCGCACCCCCGCAGGCCGUCCGUGCGUGGACUGCCACGCGUUCGAGUUCAUGCAGCGCGCCCUGCAGGACCUUCGGAAGACGGCCUACAGCCUGGACUCUCGGACGGAGACACUCCUGCUGCAGGCCGAGCGCCGGGCCCUGUGUGCCUGUUGGCCUGCCGGGCGCUGAGGAUCUUCAGACAGCGCUGUUCCCUCAUCAAUAAACACCCGGCCCAGCACAUUGUGUCCUGUCUCCCUGUUCUGGCCAUCAGAGCCCCCCUGCGUCGCCCCCAGGGGUCCCUGGUAUGGGACUUGGUUUCCCCAGCUGUUCGUGUGGGCCACACCAGGGCCAGUGCUAAGCAGAUACAUGUGUCUGGCCCCACGUGUGGACAUGCGCCCAUAGGCACUGCGUGGCCACUGCAAGUCUGCCUUCAGACUUGCCAGGAGAGGGUAGAAGCUGGCCUCGUCCCCUGGAACAGCUGUCCCAGUGCUGAGCGCCCCCAGGCUCCUCUGCACUGCAUUGGGGAUGGCUGUAGUGGGAGCUCCCUGCGGGCCCGGCCAGUGGACCCCCACAGCCAGGGAAGGCUCCUCCAGGAACAGAGGGCUGGCACGGUCCCCCAGCCUCCACCUAGCCUGCUGGGCCCCUCCUACAGCCCCAGCCCAGCCCAUGGGCUCCAGGGAGUACGAAUCUGGGCCUGAAUACAAGCGUGGUGCCUGUGGGUAACAGACCCAUAGUCCUCCACAGGUGUGUGCGUAGCACCAGCAGGAGUCCUGCAGGUGAAGCAGGCGACCCUGCCGCCAUCCCUCCAUUCAGUCCAUCAGUGUGUUGUGAUAUCCGAGCAGAGCUUCGUAGCCUCUGGGAGCACGGCAGGGCUGGAAGUGACAGCCGUGGGACACUUGGCCUUGCUGGGGUUUUAAUCCCCUGGUUGUGGCUGCCAGAGAGGAGAGGCUCGCCCUGCUGUAGCUUAGGAGUCCCCACCCCCAGCCUCUCCAAGUCGUGCGUGCGUUUACUCAGAGCCUUCCUCCAGGCCUCAGCCCCACAGCACCCGCCCUGCCCUUGCUCCCACCCCAGGACCUUUCCUGUCCUCAGUGCUUUUCUGCCUAGAAGGGCCUGGCAUGCAGCUGCCGAUCCUCGUGUCUGGACCACAAUGAACAAACCAGAGUCCUACCGUGGUCGUGGUGGGAGGUUGAGCUAGACGCCUGGUGAUGCCUGUGAACUCUAAGGCAGGCCAGAGAGAGACGAGGGAGUGCUGAAGCCGUGUGAAGCUUAGACCAGCCUUCAGUUCUGGAAAGCAGCAGGGUACUCAGUGGAAGGGAUCAGAAUUCUCCUGUCCUGGGGCCCCAGAAAGGAGCAGAGGGCUGGCUGAGGCAGGUGCCUUCCCUCCGGCCCCGCCCCGACCGUGCGGAUGUUCCAUUGGUUGGCUUCAGUCACGUGGCCAUUCCUGGCUGGCAGGAAGGUGGGGACGGACCUUGUCCUCUGCUUGGGUUGUCCAAUUCAGCAAAUACAGAUCUAGGACCAAUGAACACUUUUCAGUAUAAAAAGUACAAGUACUUCUAGUGUAAG